UUGAAUGGUAAUGGAUCAGGUUCAGUCUCUGUUUGUUCUGCAUUUGUCUUCAUUGUAAAGCCCUUCUCCUUUUCAAAUAGUUUUAGCAAGCUGUUAAAAGCUAUGAUUUUGCAUUUAUUGGGAGGCUUUGUUCUUGAAGGAGCUUUCUGUUAUUAUUCUUUGUGCCAAUUGGGAAGUGAAAUUCACAGCUAAGUACAUUCUUGGAUUCUAAAGAGAUUUUGAAUGUGCAUAAUAGAGUUCCCUUGAGAAUUUAAAGAAGUUCAGUCUUUUUGUGCCAUGUUCUAAUCAAAG
This 291-nucleotide unclassified non-coding RNA is filed under the name Hevea brasiliensis (rubber tree). The record is from RNAcentral. Lineage: Eukaryota; Viridiplantae; Streptophyta; Magnoliopsida; Malpighiales; Euphorbiaceae.